This 612-nucleotide transfer RNA is filed under the name uncultured Prochlorococcus sp. RNAcentral's name for it is "partial contains 16S ribosomal RNA, 16S-23S ribosomal RNA intergenic spacer, and 23S ribosomal RNA". The stretch from base 228 to 300 matches the Rfam family "tRNA". Lineage: Bacteria; Bacillati; Cyanobacteriota; Cyanophyceae; Synechococcales; Prochlorococcaceae. The record is from RNAcentral.
UGGAUCACCUCCUAACAGGGAGACAACAAAAUGUUUAAUAUUAUUAUUUUGUCACCUUAGGUCGAUCGGUAUCUCACGUUUUUAAUUUAUUAAGAAUUUCAUUUCCUAAGUUUUUUCUAGGUCACACCCAUUACUUUUCCUGGGCCAUUAGCUCAGGUGGUUAGAGCGCACCCCUGAUAAGGGUGAGGUCCCUGGUUCAAGUCCAGGAUGGCCCAUAUCUCUAUGUUGGGGGUAUAGCUCAGUUGGUAGAGCGCCUGCUUUGCAAGCAGGAUGUCAGCGGUUCGAGUCCGCUUACCUCCACUGAUUACCACCUCUUCCAUAUUUUAAAGAAGGGAAAUGUUUUGAGUUGUGAUCAAUCCUGAACGAAUCUAGCUUCCUAAUCAGUCUUAAUUAAGAUGCUGGAUUCAUUGAAUUAAAUUCAUUGUUUUCAGAGAACCUUGACAACUGCAUAGAUUUUUUAAAGACAAUAAGCAUCUUUAAUGAUGCAGAUUUAUUAUUUGUGCGAAUGCAUUAAUAACAAUUCUAUUAAGCUGAUGCUUCAAUUUAUUGAAGUUAUUGGUCAAGCUACAAAGGGCUCACGGAGGAUACCUAGGCACACAGAGGCGAUGAAGG